Molecule: non-coding RNA, 410 nt
Organism: Biomphalaria pfeifferi
Lineage: Eukaryota; Metazoa; Mollusca; Gastropoda; Planorbidae
Source: the annotation of a GenBank genome assembly
UCUGUGGAAAAACUUUUAUUUUACAUUUAAAAAAACAAAAAAAAAACGGGCCAGAACUAAGAUUUCACAACUAGAUUAUUUGCACAUUGCAUGGUCAACACAAUGUAAACGACUAAUAAUCUCAUUCAACAAACAUUUGCCUGUAAAAUUGAUUUCUCGUCAAAGUGUGUACAUAUUAUAUUACAGCAUGUGGUAGAAUUUUACUUCAUGUAUAUAUAUAAUUGAGCAACUACAUCUAGGCAAGUCAGCUUAUAGCUUAGUAUUACAUACUAAAACUAUAUAUCAGGAAUACAAGAUUUGUCUAAAUCAUGGAAAUUAAUUUAAAAAAAAGAAAAUCCACCUAUUCAUCACAAACUCAUUAAUUCACAGAAUUUGAGUCUUUUGCAAAAGAAUCUAGCACCAGGGGGGGG